Long non-coding RNA from Cucumis sativus (cucumber), 535 nucleotides. RefSeq lists it as uncharacterized. The record is from RefSeq and is a predicted model, not a curated record. NCBI's taxonomy places the organism in Eukaryota, Viridiplantae, Streptophyta, Magnoliopsida, Cucurbitales, Cucurbitaceae. The transcript has 4 exons.
UGCGUUGCAGUCGUCCGCGCGUCGAACUGCCGUCUCCAUCUCCGUUCGCGAAGCAAAACCGCCGCCGCUCGCCGAACCCAACCGCCACCCUCUCUUUUCUUCUUCAGAUCUAAACCGUCGCGCCCAUCCGCCUGUAACCGCCGUGCCUCUCCGCUCACAACCGUCGUGCCUCCCUCGGAAAGCAAAUCGUCGUCCAGAUCUGCCUCGCCGUGAACCAUUGGGCUCAUAUUUGGGUACAUCUUGAUUCAGUGAGCGAAUCCUUGAUUUUCCAAAAAGGUUGAAGUGGACUUGAUUUUCCACUUCUUGGGAUUUGAUUCAUUGGACUUAGUAGAUUGAAGAACUUGCAUAAAAGUGAGGCAAAGGAAAUAAAGGUGGCAAACCGGCGAGGGGCAGGAAGGAAGCGUGAAUGCCAUAGGGAAUGUGUUAUUUUGCUUCCGCUUAUGAUUUCUUUUAAGGUUUAACAUGUACUAAAUGUUAGUUUACAAACUUUUAUUUGUAAAUAGUGUUAUUUUUAAGUUCUUGGAAUAUUUGAAAA